This 254-nucleotide ribosomal RNA is filed under the name uncultured bacterium. RNAcentral's name for it is "partial 16S ribosomal RNA". It matches the Rfam family "Bacterial small subunit ribosomal RNA", at positions 79 to 334 of the family's 1533-position model. The record is from RNAcentral.
CUUUCUUUGCUGGCGACCGGCGCCCGGGUGAGUAACACGUAUCCAACCUGCCCUUUACUCGGGGAUAGCCUUUCGAAAGAAAGAUUAAUACCCGAUAGCAUAAUGAUUCCGCAUGGUUUCAUUAUUAAAGGAUUCCGGUAAAGGAUGGGGAUGCGUUCCAUUAGGUUGUUGGUGAGGUAACGGCUCACCAAGCCUUCGAUGGAUGGGGGUUCUGAGAGGAAGGUCCCCCACAUUGGAACUGAGACACGGUCCAA